Molecule: ribosomal RNA, 1643 nt
Filed under: Escherichia coli
Lineage: Bacteria; Pseudomonadati; Pseudomonadota; Gammaproteobacteria; Enterobacterales; Enterobacteriaceae
Description: partial 23S ribosomal RNA
Rfam family: Bacterial large subunit ribosomal RNA
Source: RNAcentral
GUAGGGGAGCGUUCUGUAAGCCUGUGAAGGUGGCCUGUGAGGGUUGCUGGAGGUAUCAGAAGUGCGAAUGCUGACAUAAGUAACGAUAAAGCGGGUGAAAAGCCCGCUCGCCGGAAGACCAAGGGUUCCUGUCCAACGUUAAUCGGGGCAGGGUGAGUCGACCCCUAAGGCGAGGCCGAAAGGCGUAGUCGAUGGGAAACAGGUUAAUAUUCCUGUACUUGGUGUUACUGCGAAGGGGGGACGGAGAAGGCUAUGUUGGCCGGGCGACGGUUGUCCCGGUUUAAGCGUGUAGGCUGGUUUUCCAGGCAAAUCCGGAAAACCAAGGCUGAGGCGUGAUGACGAGGCACUACGGUGCUGAAGCGACAAAUGCCCUGCUUCCAGGAAAAGCCUCUAAGCAUCAGGUAACAUCAAAUCGUACCCCAAACCGACACAGGUGGUCAGGUAGAGAAUACCAAGGCGCUUGAGAGAACUCGGGUGAAGGAACUAGGCAAAAUGGUGCCGUAACUUCGGGAGAAGGCACGCUGAUAUGUAGGUGAAGCGACUUGCUCGUGGAGCUGAAAUCAGUCGAAGAUACCAGCUGGCUGCAACUGUUUAUUAAAAACACAGCACUGUGCAAACACGAAAGUGGACGUAUACGGUGUGACGCCUGCCCGGUGCCGGAAGGUUAAUUGAUGGGGUUAGCGGUAACGCGAAGCUCUUGAUCGAAGCCCCGGUAAACGGCGGCCGUAACUAUAACGGUCCUAAGGUAGCGAAAUUCCUUGUCGGGUAAGUUCCGACCUGCACGAAUGGCGUAAUGAUGGCCAGGCUGUCUCCACCCGAGACUCAGUGAAAUUGAACUCGCUGUGAAGAUGCAGUGUACCCGCGGCAAGACGGAAAGACCCCGUGAACCUUUACUAUAGCUUGACACUGAACAUUGAGCCUUGAUGUGUAGGAUAGGUGGGAGGCUUUGAAGUGUGGACGCCAGUCUGCAUGGAGCCGACCUUGAAAUACCACCCUUUAAUGUUUGAUGUUCUAACGUUGGCCCGUAAUCCGGGUUGCGGACAGUGUCUGGUGGGUAGUUUGACUGGGGCGGUCUCCUCCUAAAGAGUAACGGAGGAGCACGAAGGUUGGCUAAUCCUGGUCGGACAUCAGGAGGUUAGUGCAAUGGCAUAAGCCAGCUUGACUGCGAGCGUGACGGCGCGAGCAGGUGCGAAAGCAGGUCAUAGUGAUCCGGUGGUUCUGAAUGGAAGGGCCAUCGCUCAACGGAUAAAAGGUACUCCGGGGAUAACAGGCUGAUACCGCCCAAGAGUUCAUAUCGACGGCGGUGUUUGGCACCUCGAUGUCGGCUCAUCACAUCCUGGGGCUGAAGUAGGUCCCAAGGGUAUGGCUGUUCGCCAUUUAAAGUGGUACGCGAGCUGGGUUUAGAACGUCGUGAGACAGUUCGGUCCCUAUCUGCCGUGGGCGCUGGAGAACUGAGGGGGGCUGCUCCUAGUACGAGAGGACCGGAGUGGACGCAUCACUGGUGUUCGGGUUGUCAUGCCAAUGGCACUGCCCGGUAGCUAAAUGCGGAAGAGAUAAGUGCUGAAAGCAUCUAAGCACGAAACUUGCCCCGAGAUGAGUUCUCCCUGAGACUUAGAGUCUCCUGAAGGAACGUUGAAGACGAC